UCCAGACUCCUACGGGAGGCAGCAGUGGGGAAUAUUGGACAAUGGGCGAAAGCCUGAUCCAGCCAGGCCGCGGGGAGAAGAAGGGCUUCGGAUUGUAAAGCACUUUAAGUUGGGAGGAAGGGCAGUAAGUUAAUACCUUGCUGUUUUGACGUUACCGACAGAAUAAGCACCGGCUAACUCUGUGCCAGCAGCCGCGGUAAUACAGAGGGUGCAAGCGUUAAUCGGAAUUACUGGGCGUAAACCGCGCGUAGGUGGUUUGUUAAGUUGGAUGUGAAAGCCCCGGGCUCAACCUGGGAACUGCAUCCAAAACUGGCAAGCUAGAGUACGGUAGAGGGUGGUGGAAUUUCCUGUGUAGCGGUGAAAUGCGUAGAUAUAGGAAGGAACACCAGUG
This 391-nucleotide ribosomal RNA is filed under the name uncultured Pseudomonas sp. Its description in RNAcentral is "bacterial SSU rRNA". It matches the Rfam family "Bacterial small subunit ribosomal RNA", at positions 330 to 714 of the family's 1533-position model. The record is from RNAcentral. Lineage: Bacteria; Pseudomonadati; Pseudomonadota; Gammaproteobacteria; Pseudomonadales; Pseudomonadaceae.